GCCAGGCGUGGUGGCACAUGCCUAUAAUCCCAGCAGCUUGGGAGGUUGAGGCAGGAGGAUUACGAGUUCAAAGCAGCCUCAGCAAAAGCAAGGCAUUAAGCAACUCAGUGAUACCCUGUCUCUA
RNAcentral lists this small RNA (124 nucleotides) under Marmota monax (woodchuck). The record is from RNAcentral. Lineage: Eukaryota; Metazoa; Chordata; Mammalia; Rodentia; Sciuridae.